CGCUGGCGGCAUGCCUAAUACAUGCAAGUCGAGCGAACAGAUGAAGUGCUUGCACUUCUGACGUUAGCGGCGAACGGGUGAGUAACACGUAAGGAAUCUACCUAUAAGCGGGGGAUAACAUUCGGAAACGGGUGCUAAUACCGCAUAAUAUCUUCUUCCGCAUGGAAGAAGAUUGAAAGACGGCUCUGCUGUCACUUAUAGAUGACCUUGCGGUGCAUUAGUUAGUUGGUGGGGUAACGGCCUACCAAGACGAUGAUGCAUAGCCGACCUGAGAGGGUGAUCGGCCACAUUGGGACUGAGACACGGCCCAAACUCCUACGGGAGGCAGCAGUAGGGAAUCUUCCGCAAUGGGCGAAAGCCUGACGGAGCAAUGCCGCGUGAGUGAAGAAGGCCUUCGGGUCGUAAAACUCUGUUAUAAGAGAAGAACAAAUUGUAGAGUAACUGCUACAGUCUUGACGGUAUCUUAUCAGAAAGCCACGGCUAACUACGUG
This 491-nucleotide ribosomal RNA is filed under the name uncultured bacterium. RNAcentral's name for it is "bacterial SSU rRNA". It matches the Rfam family "Bacterial small subunit ribosomal RNA", at positions 34 to 507 of the family's 1533-position model. The record is from RNAcentral.